RNAcentral lists this ribosomal RNA (492 nucleotides) under uncultured bacterium. Its description in RNAcentral is "partial 16S ribosomal RNA". It matches the Rfam family "Bacterial small subunit ribosomal RNA", at positions 29 to 507 of the family's 1533-position model. The record is from RNAcentral.
AGUGAACGCUGGCGGUAGGCCUAACACAUGCAAGUCGAACGGCAGCACAGUAAGAUCUUGCUCUUACGGGUGGCGAGUGGCGGACGGGUGAGGAAUACAUCGGAAUCUACUUUUUCGUGGGGGAUAACGUAGGGAAACUUACGCUAAUACCGCAUACGACCUACGGGUGAAAGCAGUGGAUCUUCGGACCUUGCGCGAUUCAAUGAGCCGAUGUCGGAUUAGCUAGUUGGCGGGGUAAAGGCCCACCAAGGCGACGAUCCGUAGCCGGUCUGAGAGGAUGGUCCGCCCAACUGGAACGUGAACACGGGCCAAACUCCCACGGGGGGGAGCAGGGGGGAAUUUUUGGAAAUGGGGGGAAGGCUUGCGCAGGCACUCCGGGGGGGGUGAAAAGGGCUUCGGGGCGUAAAACCCUUUUUGUAGGGAAAAAAAAAAGGGGGAUUAACUACCCGCGUUUUGACGGGACCCAAAAAAAAAAGCACGGCUAACUUCGUG